Molecule: ribosomal RNA, 261 nt
Filed under: uncultured archaeon
Lineage: Archaea
Description: partial 16S ribosomal RNA
Rfam family: Archaeal small subunit ribosomal RNA
Source: RNAcentral
CAGCCGUAAACAAUGUGCGUUAGGUGUGUCGGUAACCACGUGUUACUGAUGCGCCGAAGAGAAAUCGUGAAACGCACCACCUGGGAAGUACGGUCGCAAGGCUGAAACUUAAAGGAAUUGGCGGGGGAGCACCACAACAGGUGGAGCCUGCGGUUUAAUUGGACUCAACGCCGGAAAUCUCACCGGAUAGGACAGACAUAUGAUAGUCGGGCUGAAGACUCUACUUGAUGAUCUGAGAGGAGGUGCAUGGCGUCAGUGACU